AGUGAACGCUGGCGGCAGGCCUAACACAUGCAAGUCGAGCGGCAGCGCGGGGGCAACCCUGGCGGCGAGCGGCGGACGGGUGAGGAAUUCGUCGGAAUCUGCCUUUUUGUGGGGGAUAACGUAGGGAAACUUACGCUAAUACCGCAUACGUCCUACGGGAGAAAGUGGGGGACCGCAAGGCCUCACGCAGAAAGAUGAGCCGACGACCGAUUAGCUAGUUGGUGGGGUAAAGGCCCACCAAGGCGACGAUCGGUAGCUGGUCUGAGAGGAUGAUCAGCCACACUGGGACUGAGACACGGCUCAGACUCCUACGGGAGGCAGCAGUGGGGAAUAUUGGACAAUGGGCGCAAGCCUGAUCCAGCCAUGCCGCGUGUGUGAAGAAGGCCUUCGGGUUGUAAAGCACUUUUGUCCGGAAAGAAAUCCCUGGAGCUAAUACCUUCGGGGGAUGACGGUACCGGAAGAAUAAGCACCGGCUAACUUCGUG
RNAcentral lists this ribosomal RNA (484 nucleotides) under uncultured bacterium. Its description in RNAcentral is "partial 16S ribosomal RNA". It matches the Rfam family "Bacterial small subunit ribosomal RNA", at positions 29 to 507 of the family's 1533-position model. The record is from RNAcentral.